AUAAGAAUAAUAAGAAUAAUGAUAAAAAGAACUUGGCUUAUUUCUAUUAGUUUUCUAGUAAGGUUCAUUGGGAAAAAUAUCUGUUGAAUCAGAAGAAGGAGGAAUUAUUUAGGAUUUAUUUCAUAGUACUCUAAUAACAAUCAUGCCAGAAUCUUCUCACUGAGAAGGACAGGAGGAAAAGGAGAGAAGUAGGAGAGGGCUGGAUGAAAUCAAAUCUUGUUUCCUCCAGGAGGUCUGACUUCAGUGAAGAUCCAAAGGCAGAGGCCCCACAGGAGUCCUUCUGCUCCCUGGAGACAAACUAGACUGUAACCUCCAUGCAGGUAUGGAUUAUUUGCCUGCUGUGUUUAUUCUUAGCUCCAACUCCAGCACCCAGAAGAAUAUCUGACACACAAUUGAAGAAAUUGAGGAUCAAGGAGUUAAUAAUUUGCCCAAGGCCGCCUAAAUAGUAAGUAGAAGAGUCAGCAUUAAACUUGACUGCAAAGCUCACAUUCUUCCCUCCACACCACACUGCUGCUGGUUAAAAGGUGGGAUCAUAAACCAAGAAGGGCCCUGGGUUCAGGGCAGUUCAUUUUAUAAGUCACAUCCAAAAGUGGCUCAGGUUACAAAAAGAUGUGGUUCUCCAGGCAGGGGUCAUUGUGACAAAACUAGGGGUAAUGGGUCCCUGGAGAAAGGGAGUGUGAAAAGCAGAUGGCUCUUAAGUUUACAAUGCCUUUAGAGGAAAUGAGGAUCUGGGAAGAAAGGUGAAAAGUCCCCACCCAUUGUUAGCAGAGCUUGCCAAGCAUUCUAUUUUUCUGAUCAUGAGGCUGCCUUUUCAAGCAGAUUCUCCCCUUGCAUUUGCAGAGAACUUGGCUGGGCCAGGGCCAUAUCCCAUGGUUGCAGGUCAGAAGCUAAUGGCUCCCUAUGGGUUGUGAUUUUAGUCACUCGCUGCUCCAGCCAAACAAGCUAAAAGACCACAGAAAACAGAUCUUUUGUUAUGUUAUUGUUUUUAGAAAUCUGGGAUGAAGAAAGAAGAGUAAGUUCCCAACCAAAGCAAAGCCUAUCCUUAGGAACAUACAUGCACACACACACGUCAAUUAAAGUAUUUUUGAUGAACGAUUAAUGGGGCUUUCCGACAACCUGGCAAAAUAACAGCUGAA
Molecule: long non-coding RNA, 1136 nt
Organism: Homo sapiens (human)
Lineage: Eukaryota; Metazoa; Chordata; Mammalia; Primates; Hominidae
Exons: 3
Source: RefSeq, a predicted model, not a curated record